Molecule: transfer RNA, 69 nt
Filed under: Saurida eso
Lineage: Eukaryota; Metazoa; Chordata; Actinopteri; Aulopiformes; Synodontidae
Description: tRNA-Arg
Rfam family: tRNA
About the family: Transfer RNA (tRNA) molecules are approximately 80 nucleotides in length. Their secondary structure includes four short double-helical elements and three loops (D, anti-codon, and T loops). Further hydrogen bonds mediate the characteristic L-shaped molecular structure. tRNAs have two regions of fundamental functional importance: the anti-codon, which is responsible for specific mRNA codon recognition, and the 3' end, to which the tRNAs corresponding amino acid is attached (by aminoacyl-tRNA synthetases). tRNAs cope with the degeneracy of the genetic code in two manners: having more than one tRNA (with a specific anti-codon) for a particular amino acid; and 'wobble' base-pairing, i.e. permitting non-standard base-pairing at the 3rd anti-codon position.
Source: RNAcentral
AGGGAGUUAGUCUAAACAAGACAUUUGAUUUCGGCUCAGAAAACUGUGGUUAAACCCCACAACUACCUU